This 776-nucleotide ribosomal RNA is filed under the name uncultured Neocallimastigales. RNAcentral describes it as "partial large subunit ribosomal RNA". It matches the Rfam family "Eukaryotic large subunit ribosomal RNA", at positions 24 to 647 of the family's 3401-position model. Lineage: Eukaryota; Fungi; Neocallimastigomycota; Neocallimastigomycetes; Neocallimastigales. The record is from RNAcentral.
AUCUCUGUAGAGUCUGCAUAUCAAUAAGCGGAGGAAAAGGAACUAACUAGGAUUCCUCUCAGUAACGGCGAGUGAAGCGGGAAGAGCUCAAAUUUGAAAUCUUCAAGGUUCUACCUUGACGAAUUGUAGUUUAAAGAAGUGUUUUCUGUUGAAGUUUCGGUAAAAGUUCUUUGGAAUAGGACAUCAUAGAGGGUGAGAAUCCCGUAUUUGACCAGUUAUUUCUCAGCUGUGUGAUACACUUUCAAAGAGUCGGAUUGUUUGGGAUGCAGUCCAAAAUGGGUGGUAAAUUUCAUCUAAAGCUAAAUAUUGGCGAGAGACCGAUAGCGAACAAGUACCGUGAGGGAAAGAUGAAAAGAACUUUGAAAAGAGAGUUAAACAGUACGUGAAAUUGUCAAAAGGGAAGCGUUUGACACCAGUGUUGUUUUCUCGAAAAUCAAUUAAAAAAGGUUGAUUUUGUGUUGUAUUGACCUUAACAGCUUUCUUCACUCUUUUCCUGUCUUUUUUUUAAUGCACUUUUCGUUUAACAAGUCAACAUCAGUUUCUUUUGUUGUAAAAAGGUCAUUGGAAGGUGGCUUCCUUUUCGGAGAAAGUGUUUAUAGCCUUUGACUUCUGCAAUCGGAGAGACUGAGGUCUGCAGCGUAGAUCCUUCUGGAUUAGAUUCAUUUGUGCUAAGUUACAACCGUUUAUAGACAACUUGUUGACUAUAUUCGAUCCUGUAGCUUACUCGCUUAUGUAAUUUUACCUACGCUUAGGAUGUUGAUCUGUAGUGCGUGCGC